Molecule: ribosomal RNA, 279 nt
Filed under: uncultured bacterium
Lineage: Bacteria
Description: partial 16S ribosomal RNA
Rfam family: Bacterial small subunit ribosomal RNA
Source: RNAcentral
UGCCAGCCGCCGCGGUAAUACGAAGGGGGUUAGCGUUGUUCGGAAUUACUGGGCGUAAAGCGCGCGUAGGCGGAUCAGAAAGUUGGGGGUGAAAUCCCGGGGCUCAACCCCGGAACUGCCUCCAAAACUCCUGGUCUUGAGUUCGAGAGAGGGGAGUCGUAUUAUUAAAGAAGAGGUGGUAUUCUUAGAUAUUAAUAGGACGAUCAAAGGCGAAGGCAACUCCCUAGAUUAAAACUGACGCUGAGGUACGAAAGCGUGGGGAGCAAACAGGAUUAGAUA